Molecule: signal recognition particle RNA, 95 nt
Filed under: Hydrogenobacter thermophilus TK-6
Lineage: Bacteria; Pseudomonadati; Aquificota; Aquificia; Aquificales; Aquificaceae
Description: RNA component of signal recognition particle
Rfam family: Bacterial small signal recognition particle RNA
About the family: The signal recognition particle (SRP) is a universally conserved ribonucleoprotein involved in the co-translational targeting of proteins to membranes.
Source: RNAcentral
AUUAGCCCCGCAACGGGAAAGGGUAAACCCCGCCAGGCCCGAAAGGGAGCAACGGUAAGCCUGCAGUCCCGGGUGCGGGGUAAAGGGCCCGUAGC